RNAcentral lists this long non-coding RNA (3427 nucleotides) under Nicotiana benthamiana. Its description in RNAcentral is "long non-coding RNA (NBEN_LNC014124)". Lineage: Eukaryota; Viridiplantae; Streptophyta; Magnoliopsida; Solanales; Solanaceae. The record is from RNAcentral.
UUCGGCAUAUGUGAAUGUUCCGUUCACGUCGGUUUGUCAUUUAUCAAAACCUACAAAUAUGAAUACACGUUUAGUUUAGCGACUUGAGAACGAGUUUCAACAAAAUUUACCUAAUUCAUUCAAGGUAAUUGUUACUCAUAUAGGAAGUAUUUCUAUUCUGCCAGGUCAUGUCAUAAAUAAUGUCUUACAUGUUCCAGAUUUCAAGUAUAAUCUACUGUACAUAGGUUUUGCAUUCAGUUCCAAUAUGAUGUCUUAUUCACAUCUAUUAAGUGUGUGUUGCAAGGCCUUUAAAUAAAGAGUCCACAAGCCUUUGGUGAAGUUAUAGAGGGUCUCUACAUUUUGGAGCCUAGUAAUCUUAAGUCUAAGGGAAUAUUCAGUAGUAAUGUACUUUCAAUUCAAAAAGGGAGAAAUUCUAUUUCAGAGUCUAUGUCUUUUUCUAGUCCUGUUCAUGUUAAUGUUGUUUCUAAUAUUAAUCUUUGGCAUGUAAGGUUGGGACAUCUCCCAUUUUUAGCAAUGAAACAUUUAGAUUUCCUUCAUUGUGACUCCAAUUCUGAUUUUAUUUGUGAUGUUUGUCCUAAGGCUAGGCAGACAAGGAAACAUUUCCCUUUCAGCACUAUUAAAUCCAUAAUUAUAUUUGAUCUAAUACAUAUAGAUACAUGGGGACCUUACAUGUCCAAUACCUAUAAUGGAUUCAGAUAUUUUGUCACUAUAGUGGAUGACUACAAUAGAGGAACAUGGACAUUUUUGCUGUCUUCUAAGAGCAAUGCAUUUCCUAUGAUAAAAUCAUUCUAAUCGAAGGUUGAAAGACGGUUCAGUACAAAAGUGAAGAUGAUAUGGUCUGACAAUGCUUUAGAGUUGGGGAAAGGGUCACAAGAAGCAACUUUCCUUUCUUCAGAAGAAAUUAUACAUUAGGUGUCUUGUGUAGCAACACCUCAACAAAAUGGGAUUGCUAUGAGGAAACAUAUACACCUUUUAGAAGCUGCUAGAGGUCUAAUGUUUCAAUCCAGGUUACCUAUGUCAUAUUGGGGGUGAAUCUAUUCUGACUGCAACACACAUUAUCAAUAGAUUGCCUUCGUGUUCUUCAAGGAAAAACACCAUUUGAAGUUCUUUUUUAUCACAAACCUAAGUAUGACUAUUUCAGAAAUUUUGGAUAUCUAUGCUAUGCUUCUACUUUGAAGCAAGGUAGAGGUAAGUUUGAUGAGAGGGAAACAACUUGUGUAUUACUUGGUUAUCCUAUUCAAUAAAAGGGUUACAAGCUUCUUGAUCUAUCUACAAGGAAAGUAUAUGUGUCUAGGUAUGUGGAGUUUCAUGAAUCACACUUUCCCUUUACAGAAACAAAAACAUCAUAUCAUCCCAUCUUUCCAACUUAAACCUUUACCACAAAACCAACCUACUCAACCACAUUCCAAGAUACAACACCACAUAUUUCUCUAGAACAUAAUACAUCAGAUAUUUUCUCACCACUGUCAUCAAGUUCCCCUCAUUUUUCUCAUCACUAUUCAGUUUCUCCACCAUCACCAAUUUCAGUCCCUUCUAGUCUAGAGUCUUCUCACACUAGGACAUAUUCUUUUGCACCUAAAGAACCUACAACUUUUAGAAGAUCAGGAAGAUUUUCUACUCAACCAAUCUACCUAAAAGACUUUGUCUGCAACAGUAUUAUGUUAAUUGAUUUUGCAAUAACCUGUUUCACUUAACCAUGUGUCCCUAAUGAGUAAUGUUUUUCAUCUCUCUCACCCAACAAACAACAUGUCAUGCAAUCCCUCUCUACACUGACAGAACCCUCUACUUUCAUCCAAGAUUGUCGACAUCCAAGAUGGGUAGAAGCUAUGUCUGUAGAAAUUAAAGCUCUAGAAGACAACUACAUAUGGGAAGUGGUUGAAUUACCUAAAGGGAAAAGAGAUUUACCUUGUAAAUAGGUACACAAGGUGAAAAACUUAUCAGAUGGCAAAAUUGAGAGGUUGAAAGAAAUGUUGGUGGUCAGGGGGAUGUUCAAAGACAAGGAAUAGAUUACAGUGAAACUUUUUCACCAGUGGUGAAGAUGACAACCAUAAGGUGUCUGCUCACUAUUGCAGCCAAGAAAUAUUGGAAUGUAUCUCAUCUAGAUGUCAACAAUGCAUUCUUGCCUGGAGAUUUGCAAGAGGAAGUAUAUAUGAAAUUUCCAGCAGGUUUAGAUCCUCCUAGUCCUAAGAAUGUUUGUCUCUUGAAGAAGUCUCUCUAUGGUUUAAAGCAAGCGUCUAGGCACUGGUAUGCUAGGCUAGCAGGGGCUCUACGUUUUAAAGAAUAUUCUUCAUCAAUGAAUGACUAUUAUUUGUUUUUUAAACGCACAAGUGGUCUUAUCUCUAACUUGGCUGUUUAUGUUGACGACAUAGUAAUCACAGGAGACGAUUUAGCAGAAAUUCAGGAUAUCAAAGAUUUCUUAAAUUGUGAAUUUAAAGUUAAGAACUUGGGAGGUAUACACUACUUUUUGGGCAUGGAGGUUUUAAGAUAACAAGCAGGUUUCAUUGUGAGUCAAAGAAAGUUCACCUUAGACAUGUUGCAAGAAUUUGAUGUGUCUCAUUUGCCUAAAGUCAGUUCUCCUUUGGAUCCCGCCCUCAAGAUUCAGGUUGAUGAUGGAGAAUACCUGCAAAAUCCAACUUUGUUUCGUCAUCUAGUUGGAAAGCUGAAUUAUUUAAUAAAUACAAGAACAGAUCUUUCAUUUGUUGUACUCACCCUCAGUCAAUUUAUGCAGAAACCAUGUGUGUCACAUCUCUCUGUUGUUUUAGGAGUUCUCAAAUAUCUCAGUUCUGACCCUAGACAAGAAAUCCUCUUAUCAGCAGCGACGUCUUUCUCUUUGCUCGCUUUAUGUGAUGCAUACUGGGCUUCCUGUAGGGAUUCAAGAAGGUAUGUUAGUGGUUUCUUUAUUACUCUAGGAGGAGCUCCCAUCUCCUUGAAAUCAAAGAAACAGAUCUUAAUUUCUUUGUCUUCUGCCGAAGCAGAGUAUAGAUCUAUGCGUAGGGUUACUGUGGAGCUUACCUGGUUGGUACGAAUUCUCGAGGAUCUAUCAGCACCAAUUACUAUACCAAUUAACCUUCACUAUGAUAGCAAGGCAGCUAUUCACAUCGCCUGGAAUCCCCUUUUUCAUGAACGCACAAAACAUGUCGAAAUUGACUGUCAUUUUGCACGUAAACAAUUUCUCUCAGGCCUAAUUUCUCUCUCUUCGUUCCUUCUAUAUCCCAGCUUGCAGACAUCUUCACGAAGCCUCUUUCUAGGAUUUCUCAUCGAGAUAUUUUGGGCAAGUUAGAAGUCACCAAGUUCCCUUCUAACUUGAGAGGGGAUGUUGAGAAGAAAAAGCCACCUCAUAAUUCUGAUUUUCAUGGUGGUUCAUCAAGGGUUAGAGAAGAAGAUGAUAUGAACAAGAAGAAGCAGACUUAAUGACUUCAGACCAAAG